RNAcentral lists this transfer RNA (64 nucleotides) under Euglandina singleyana. Its description in RNAcentral is "tRNA-Asp". The record is from RNAcentral. Lineage: Eukaryota; Metazoa; Mollusca; Gastropoda; Stylommatophora; Spiraxidae.
UUUUAUUUAGUUUAUUACAAAAUUUAAGCUUGUCAAUCUUAAGAUAACUAUUAGUUAAUAGGGA